UUAUCGGAGAGUUUGAUCCUGGCUCAGGACGAACGCUGGCGGCGUGCCUAAUACAUGCAAGUCGAGCGGACAGAUGGGAGCUUGCUCCCUGAUG
This 94-nucleotide ribosomal RNA is filed under the name Bacillus subtilis. RNAcentral describes it as "partial 16S ribosomal RNA". It matches the Rfam family "Bacterial small subunit ribosomal RNA", at positions 1 to 92 of the family's 1533-position model. RNAcentral also lists the same sequence under 5 other names. Lineage: Bacteria; Bacillati; Bacillota; Bacilli; Caryophanales; Bacillaceae. The record is from RNAcentral.